RNAcentral lists this ribosomal RNA (578 nucleotides) under uncultured bacterium. Its description in RNAcentral is "bacterial SSU rRNA". It matches the Rfam family "Bacterial small subunit ribosomal RNA", at positions 338 to 916 of the family's 1533-position model. The record is from RNAcentral.
CCUACGGGAGGCAGCAGUGAGGAAUUUUGGUCAAUGGACGCAAGUCUGAACCAGCCAUGUCGCGUGAAGGAGGACGGCCCUAAGGGUUGUAAACUUCUUUUGCAGUGGAAUAAAGUUUGCCACGUGUUGGCGAUUUGCAAGUACGCUGCGAAUAAGGAUCGGCUAACUCCGUGCCAGCAGCCGCGGUAAUACGGAGGAUCCAGGCGUUAUCCGGAUUUAUUGGGUUUAAAGGGUGCGCAGGCGGGGAAUUAGGUCGGCGGUGAAAUUUCGGGGCUCAACCUCGACAGUGCCGUUGAAACCGUUUCUCUUGAGUGCGGAUGAGGUAGGCGGAUUUGUGGUGCAGCGGUGAAAUGCGUAGAUAUCACAAGGAACACCGAUUGCGGAGGCAGCUUACUAAACCGUUACUGACGCUCAUGCACGAAGGCGUGGGGAUCAAACAGGAUUAGAUACCCUGGUAGUCCACGCAGUAAACGAUGAUUACUUGCUGUUUGCGAUACACAGUAAGCGGCGUAGCGAAAGCGUUAAGUAAUCCACCUGGGGAGUACGUUCGCAAGAAUGAAACUCAAAUGAAUUGACGG